GUGCCAGCAGCCGCGGUAAUACGGAAGGUCCGGGCGUUAUCCGGAUUUAUUGGGUUUAAAGGGAGCGCAGGCUGAUGCUUAAGCGUGACGUGAAAUGCCGCGGCUCAACCGUGGAAGUGCGUCGCGAACUGGGUGUCUUGAGUGGGUACGACGCCGGCGGAAUUCGUGGUGUAGCGGUGAAAUGCUUAGAUAUCACGAAGAACCCCGAUUGCGAAGGCAGCCGGCGAGUCCUCAACUGACGCUAAAGCUCGAAGGUGCGGGUAUCGAACAGGAUUAGAUACCCUGGUAGUCCGCACGGUAAACGAUGGAUGCCCGCUGUCGGCGAUAGAAUGUCGGUGGCCAAGCGAAAGCGUUAAGCAUCCCACCUGGGGAGUACGCCGGCAACGGUGAAACUCAAAGGAAUUGACGGGGGCCCGCACAAGCGGAGGAACAUGUGGUUUAAUUCGAUGAUACGCGAGGAACCUUACCCGGGCUUGAACUGCCGGCGAACGAUUCAGAGAUGAUGAGGUCCUUCGGGACGCCGGUGGAGGUGCUGCAUGGUUGUCGUCAGCUCGUGCCGUGAGGUGUCGGCUUAAGUGCCAUAACGAGCGCAACCCCUGUCGCCGGUUGCCAUCAGGUGAAGCUGGGCACUCGGGCGAUACUGCCACCGCAAGGUGCGAGGAAGGUGGGGAUGACGUCAAAUCAGCACGGCCCUUACGUCCGGGGCUACACACGUGUUACAAUGGGUGAUACAGAGAGUCAGUCCAACGCAAGUUGGGUUCAAUCAUGAAAGUCAUCCUCAGUUCGGAUUGGGGUCUGCAACCCGACCCCAUGAAGCUGGAUUCGCUAGUAAUCGCGCAUCAGCCAUGGCGCGGUGAAUACGUUCCCGGGCCUUGUACACACCGCCCGU
This 889-nucleotide ribosomal RNA is filed under the name uncultured bacterium. RNAcentral describes it as "bacterial SSU rRNA". It matches the Rfam family "Bacterial small subunit ribosomal RNA", at positions 505 to 1397 of the family's 1533-position model. The record is from RNAcentral.